AUUGAACGCUGGCGGCAUGCCUUACACAUGCAAGUCGAACGGCAGCACGGGAGCAAUCCUGGUGGCGAGUGGCGAACGGGUGAGUAAUAUAUCGGAACGUGCCCAGUCGUGGGGAUAACGUAGCGAAAGCUACGCUAAUACCGCAUACGAUCUAUGGAUGAAAGCGGGGGAUCGCAAGACCUCGCGCGAUUGGAGCGGCCGAUAUCAGAUUAGGUAGUUGGUGAGGUAAAGGCUCACCAAGCCGACGAUCUGUAGCUGGUCUGAGAGGACGACCAGCCACACUGGGACUGAGACACGGCCCAGACUCCUACGGGAGGCAGCAGUGGGGAAUUUUGGACAAUGGGCGCAAGCCUGAUCCAGCAAUGCCGCGUGCAGGAUGAAGGCCUCGGUUGUAACGUGCUUUUGUACGGUAACGAAACGGUAGAGCUCUAAUACAGUUG
RNAcentral lists this ribosomal RNA (440 nucleotides) under uncultured bacterium. RNAcentral's name for it is "bacterial SSU rRNA". It matches the Rfam family "Bacterial small subunit ribosomal RNA", at positions 30 to 472 of the family's 1533-position model. The record is from RNAcentral.